This 881-nucleotide ribosomal RNA is filed under the name uncultured bacterium. Its description in RNAcentral is "bacterial SSU rRNA". It matches the Rfam family "Bacterial small subunit ribosomal RNA", at positions 433 to 1364 of the family's 1533-position model. The record is from RNAcentral.
UUUGUUGUAGGAGAGCUCGAGUGACGUACCUGCCGAAAAGCACGGCUACUACGUGCCAGCAGCGGUAUACGUAGGUGCAGCGUGUCCGAUAUUGGCGUAAGAGCUCGUAGCGUUGUCGCGUCUGCUGUGAAUCCGAGCUCACCUCGACGUGCAGUGGUACGGCAGGCUGAGUGCGGUAGGGAGAUGGAAUUCUGGUGUAGCGGUGGAAUGCGCAGAUAUCAGGAGGAACACCGAUGGCGAAGGCAGAUCUCUGGGCCGCUACUGACGCUGAGGAGCGAAAGCAUGGGGAGCGAACAGGAUUAGAUACCCUGGUAGUCCAUGCCGUAAACGUUGGGAACUAGAUGUAGGAGCCUUUCCACGGCUUCUGUGUCGACGCUAACGCAUUAAGUUCCCCGCCUGGGGAGUACGGCCGCAAGGCUAAAACUCAAAGGAAUUGACGGGGGCCCGCACAAGCGGCGGAGCAUGCGGAUUAAUUCGAUGCAACGCGAAGAACCUUACCAAGGCUUGACAUAUACGAGAACACUGUAGAGAUACAGGACUCUUUGGACACUCGUAUACAGGUGGUGCAUGGUUGUCGUCAGCUCGUGUCGUGAGAUGUUCGGUUAAGUCCGGCAACGAGCGCAACCCUCGUCCUAUGUUGCCAGCACGUUAUGGUGGGAACUCAUGGGAUACUGCCGUGGUCAACACGGAGGAAGGUGGGGAUGACGUCAAAUCAUCAUGCCCCUUAUGUCUUGGGCUUCACGCAUGCUACAAUGGCCGGCACAAUGGGCAGCGAUACCGUGAGGUGGAGCGAAUCCAAAAAACCGGUCUCAGUUCGGAUUGGGGUCUGCAACUCGACCCCAUGAAGUCGGAGUCGCUAGAAUCGCAGUCGCACGUGCGUG